UACGGAGGGUGCAAGCGUUGUCCGGAAUCACUGGGCGUAAAGGGCGCGUAGGCGGCUCAUGAAGGCUGUGGUGAAAGUCCGGGGCUCAACCUCGGAUCGGCCGUGGCGACUCGUGGGCUGGAGCACUGUAGAGGCGGGUGGAAUUCCGGGUGUAGCGGUGGAAUGCGUAGAGAUCCGGAAGAACACCAGUGGCGAAGGCGGCCCGCUGGGCGAGCUGGCUGACGCUGGAGGCGCGACAGGCGUGGGGAGCAAACAGG
Molecule: ribosomal RNA, 257 nt
Filed under: uncultured bacterium
Lineage: Bacteria
Description: partial 16S ribosomal RNA
Rfam family: Bacterial small subunit ribosomal RNA
Source: RNAcentral